Long non-coding RNA from Diceros bicornis minor, 1660 nucleotides. RefSeq lists it as uncharacterized. The record is from RefSeq and is a predicted model, not a curated record. NCBI's taxonomy places the organism in Eukaryota, Metazoa, Chordata, Mammalia, Perissodactyla, Rhinocerotidae. The transcript is spliced from 4 exons.
CACGUGACCCACCACCCCAUCUGUGACGGUGAGGUCACCCUGAAGUGCUGGGCCCUGGGCUUCUACCCUGUGGACAUCACCCUGACCUGGCAGCAUCAUGAGGACCUGACCCGGGACACAGAGCUUGUGGAGACCAGGCCUGCAGGGGACAGGACCUUCCAGAAGUGGGAGGCAGUGGUGGUACCUUCUGGAGAGGAGCAGAGACACCCUUGCCAUGUGUAGCUUGAGGGGCUGCGUGAGCCCAUCACCCUGAGAUGGGAGCCACCUCUUCUGGCCACCAUCCCCAUUGAGGGAAUUGUUGCUGGACUUUUUUUGGUCAUUGUUGUUGCUAUAGUUGUAGCUGUGAUCUGGAGGAAGUGCUCAGGCAGUGACAGUGCCCAGGACUCUGGUGUGUCUCUCAUGGCAGCAUGAGACAGUUGCCUUAUGGGGAUGCAAGAUUUAUUCCUGUCCCACCCAUCAUUGUGACUUCAAGAACCUCUGACUUCUCUUUCUGCAAAAGGCCUCUGAAUGUGUCUGCAUUCCUAUUAGCAUAAUGUGAGGAGAUGGGGAGACUGGUCUCCCCCGCAAACUCCUGCUGACACUGACCUGUGUUCUUUCCCUGAUUGACUUUCCUGCUUCAGCAGAGGUAGGCCUGGGCCAUCUCCAUCCCUGCCUUAGCUUCAUGUUGCACUGAGCUGCAACUUCUUACUUUCUUAAUGAAAUAAGAAUCUGGAUAUAAAUUUGCUUUUUCAAAUUCUUGCGAUGAGGGAUUGGUGGGUUAAUUAGAGGAAAAGAUUCUUAAUAUUUGGGAGAGAAAAUAAAUAGAAGACCUGAGAACCUUCCAGAAUCUGUGUGUUUGCUGUGCUGCACCUGUGGCAGGUGGGAACAGGAGAAGGCUGUGAGGAACUGAGCAUGGUCAGGGCCUGUGCCUAGUCAGUGCUCAGUGCAUUGUGGGCUUUGACAUGUUCACUCCUUGGCUGGGUCAUCUCUCUGCUCCUUUGUCCUUGUCCCUUCAGUAGAACCUUGUCCCACCAGGACCUGUGAUCACAGGGACUCAAACAUCCCCUGGUCAUUGUUAUGUCUCUAGGACCAUGGGCAAUGAGGGCCUUAUGUGACGGGGUCAGCUUAGGCUCAGGCCUGGGUCCAGUCCUCCAGCCCCAUCUUUUGGGUGUUUGUUGUUUCUUUCUUUCUGUAGAGGAUUGGGCCUAUUCUUGUUCUUGUGUAUGAGUUCAUGUAUCAUUCUCCUCUGGGUGUCCCCUGUCUCUGACCUGUCGUUUGGCCUGUCAUUGUCCCCACAAAGCGAGGCAGCCCCUGCACACAGGCGUCUGUGGUAUCCAGAGAUGAAUUUUCAGACUCAUACAGCUCUGCCCUCCUCUAGGCCUUUAUUGUCAUUUCCACCUUUUCCCAAGCUUCUCAAAGGAGCCAGAUUCUGGAAUUAGUGGAGAGGAGGGUUCCCAUAAUUUCUCAUCCUAAAUAUGUUCCUGUUGGGAUUCUUCUGCUCUGCAGCCUGCCCUGUCUCCUGGCCCUUAGCUUUAGUCAUCCUAGUGCUGAAUCCAAUCGGAACUCACAAUUUAUAAAGCGGAGUUUACUUGAGAUUUAUAUUUGGUUGGCAACUAGGACCCAUAAGUCAGGGAUCAUUGUUUUCUGAAGAGAGAAAUGUAAUUGUGUGCCUAGGUGUGCA